RNAcentral lists this long non-coding RNA (426 nucleotides) under Ananas comosus (pineapple). Its description in RNAcentral is "long non-coding RNA (ACOM_LNC006701)". Lineage: Eukaryota; Viridiplantae; Streptophyta; Magnoliopsida; Poales; Bromeliaceae. The record is from RNAcentral.
AAUGUCUUAAUAAAAUAAUGAGUAAACUUCAAAUAUCAUUUAUGUGGCUUCACACUUUCUCACUUUAGUAUUAUAUGGUUUAAAGUGUAUCAAGUUAGUUUUCUAUAAUUUCAUUUUUAUCUUUUCGUCAGCUUGUCCGUUAAUAUUUCAUUAAAUUAUAUGCAAAAAACUUCAGAUACCCUACAUAGGUUUAUCGAAUAUUCACUUUAGUACCCUUUAGUUUUAACUUUGUCACUAAUUUAACGAAAAAAAUUAGUGGAAUUGAUAAUAAAAAGAUAAAAAUGAAACCACAUGCCAUUAAAUUGAUGAUACACUUUAAACUAUAGUGUACUAAAGUGAGAAAGUGUGAAACCACAGGAGUGGUAUUUGAAAGUUUUCCUAAAAUAAUCAAUGAAACUUACUUGAUGAGAAAUUAUUUUUCUAUGU